Molecule: non-coding RNA, 129 nt
Organism: Cercophora samala
Lineage: Eukaryota; Fungi; Ascomycota; Sordariomycetes; Sordariales; Lasiosphaeriaceae
Source: the annotation of a GenBank genome assembly
GGCUCAAUGGUCUAGUGGUAUGAUUCGCGCUUCGGGAUUUUCUUGAAGCUUUCCAAAGCUUAAAAGAAGCCCCGUCGGAUAUCCGAUGAAGAAUGUGCGAGGUCUCGGGUUCGAAUCCCGAUUGAGCCC